AAAUGACUCAUCAGCAAAUAUUGGUAAUAAGUCCAAUAGGAGUUGAUGGAUGAUGAGUGUUGCUGUGAUUGGCUCACUUUAAAUAAAUAAGUUGGUUCAUUUACAAUUUGUGGAAUGACUUAAUGUGAUAGAUAUCUUCAUUAGGGAGGGCAAUUAUUGCUGCCACACUAUAUUGUAUUUGAUGGCUUCUAACUGAGUGAAUAGUCUGUUUAAAAUCAGAAUAUAUCACCCUUGA
This 235-nucleotide unclassified non-coding RNA is filed under the name uncultured Phakopsora. Its description in RNAcentral is "sequence contains ITS2". The record is from RNAcentral. Lineage: Eukaryota; Fungi; Basidiomycota; Pucciniomycetes; Pucciniales; Phakopsoraceae.